This 450-nucleotide ribosomal RNA is filed under the name uncultured bacterium. Its description in RNAcentral is "bacterial SSU rRNA". It matches the Rfam family "Bacterial small subunit ribosomal RNA", at positions 354 to 796 of the family's 1533-position model. The record is from RNAcentral.
GUCGAGAAUCAUUCGCAAUGGGCGAAAGCCUGACGAUGCGACGCCGUGUGAGCGAUGAAGGCCUUAGGGUUGUAAAGCUCUUUCGCUUGGGAACAAGAGAGGUAGGCAAAUAACCUGCUGAUUUGAGGGUACCAGGUAAAGAAGCACCGGCUAACUCCGUGCCAGCAGCUGCGGUAAUACGGAGGGUGCAAGCAUUAAUCGGAUUUAUUGGGCGUAAAGGGCGCGUAGGCUGGAGAAUAAGUUGGAUGUGAAAUCCCGGGGCUCAACCCCGGACACGCAUCUGAAACUGUUUUUCUAGAGGAUAGAAGGAGGAAACGGAAUUCCACAAGUAGCGGUGAAAUGCGUAGAUAUGUGGAAGAACACCCGUGGCGAAGGCGGUUUCCUAUUUUAUACCUGACGCUGAGGCGCGAAAGCAAGGGGAUCAAACAGGAUUAGAUACCCCAGUAGUCC